RNAcentral lists this ribosomal RNA (275 nucleotides) under uncultured bacterium. RNAcentral's name for it is "partial 16S ribosomal RNA". It matches the Rfam family "Bacterial small subunit ribosomal RNA", at positions 79 to 353 of the family's 1533-position model. The record is from RNAcentral.
CUAAGUUUGAUGGCGACCGGCGCACGGGUGAGUAACACGUAUCCAACCUGCCGAUGACUCGGGGAUAGCCUUUCGAAAGAAAGAUUAAUACCCGAUGGCAUGGUUCUUCCGCAUGGUGGAACUAUUAAAGAAUUUCGGUCAUCGAUGGGGAUGCGUUCCAUUAGGUUGUUGGCGGGGUAACGGCCCACCAAGCCUUCGAUGGAUAGGGGUUCUGAGAGGAAGGUCCCCCACAUUGGAACUGAGACACGGUCCAAACUCCUACGGGAGGCAGCAUG